Molecule: ribosomal RNA, 468 nt
Filed under: uncultured bacterium
Lineage: Bacteria
Description: partial 16S ribosomal RNA
Rfam family: Bacterial small subunit ribosomal RNA
Source: RNAcentral
GACGAACGCUGGCGGCGUGCUUAACACAUGCAAGUCGAACGGAAAGGCCCUGCUUUUGUGGGGUGCUCGAGUGGCGAACGGGUGAGUAACACGUGAGUAACCUGCCCUUGACUUUGGGAUAACUUCAGGAAACUGGGGCUAAUACCGGAUAGGAGCUCCUGCUGCAUGGUGGGGGUUGGAAAGUUUCGGCGGUUGGGGAUGGACUCGCGGCUUAUCCGCUUGUUGGUGGGGUAGUGGCUUACCAAGGCUUUGACGGGUAGCCGGCCUGAGAGGGUGACCGGACACAUUGGGCCUGAGAUACGGCCCAGACUCCUACGGGAGGCAGCAGUGGGGAAUAUUGCACAAUGGGCGGAAGCCUGAUGCAGCAACGCCGCGUGCGGGAUGACGGCCUUCGGGUUGUAAACCGCUUUCGCCUGUGACGAAGCGUGAGUGACGGUAAUGGGUAAAGAAGCACCGGCUAACUACGUG